Long non-coding RNA from Capsicum annuum, 3139 nucleotides. RefSeq lists it as uncharacterized. The transcript is spliced from 3 exons. The record is from RefSeq and is a predicted model, not a curated record. NCBI's taxonomy places the organism in Eukaryota, Viridiplantae, Streptophyta, Magnoliopsida, Solanales, Solanaceae.
CAAUUCAACACCAGCAAUACCAUCAGUAACAACAGCACACAACCAUAUCCAACGAUUUCAACAACGACGUCUUCAUCAAUAUCGAAACCGAACAACACUGAUUAUCAGGUAAUGAAAAAUCCAGUGGUUUUUACCUCUUUCUCUCCUAUCCUCUCUAUCACCCUCGCCCGUCACUUCUUGUUGAAGCAGAGCAGAGCCCAAGACUCUGCAUCUUCCGGAAAAGAUGGUAAAGUUCAUGGACCUUCAUGUUCUAAGGACGCUUAGCCCUUCAAACCAACAGAUUCAAGUGUAAUAGCCUCCAAUCAGUCAUUUUUCAUUCACAUCGACUGAAAAAGGCCACGGAUUUGCUUGAGCCGCCCUUGUUCAUCUGGCAGUGUGCUCUUAUCAUUCACUAUGCUUCUCCUAUGACAUGUCUUCACUGUCCAGAUUGUAAGCAUGUAGACGAUUCCAUGGUGUCUUGAAUCGUCUACAUGCUUCUCCCAAAAGUACAAUUGGUUGUUCUUGCUAUAAAGAUUUCCUGAGGUGACUUAAAAGGGGUUAUGGACAGUGGAAAGUUACUAUUUUGUUUGCCUAUAAUUCUGCAAUUUUAUCCAGUCUCCAAGAUUGAAGAGUUUUCCAUAAUCCUUCCAAAGUGUGCAUAAGCCCGUUCAGGAUAUCCAAGUGUUUGUCACACAUGAAUGUGCUAUAAUGAACUUGAAGUGAUUUCCAUUUUUAUACUAAAGUUGUUCAACUUGGCCUGAGAAAAGUUUCUUUUUCUUUUUUUUUUUCUCUUUUGGUUGUGAUAAUCUGUGAACAUGAUGGUCCAUUUAAAUGCCCUUGUUACUUGUUCUCCCUCUCUUCACUAUGUUUAAGUGUAUAAUUUUUAUUUUUUAAAGAAAAAAAGUUGGGGCGGCUCUGUCUUUGUUUAUCAUGUUGCAGAAAAGAAAAAAAUUUUCUUUUCAUUUGUUUGAGCUAGCUAUCUAGACUUAGACUUGAUAUUGAGUUGUAUGUUAGUAGAUAUUUGUUGAAGCAAAGUUAGAUGUUGUGGGUUCAAAAUUUAUUUUCUUAUGAGAAUAGUUUGGGUCACAAGCCCCCUCCCUGCUCCUGCGUUUUUUUCGAAUCUCGAUUGUGCAAGUGUUAUAAAAUUUUUCGAGUGUUUGAGGUGGUCUAUUGAAUCAUGGUAGUUUCUUUGGAUUCUAGAAGUUAAAAUAUGUUCUUGGUUUCAGUUUGUGUAUUAUCCUAUUAUCUAUCUUGGUCGAUCUUGUUUAGAUAAAUUCAUUCCUAACUUCCUUUUGUUUUCUUUUCAUGUGAACUUGAGAGCGCAUUUGGGUCUAAUGGCUUGACUCUAUCACUGUCCAAAUCAGAGAAGCAAUAAAAGAUGCAUCACAUAUUUCCAUCUAGCAGUCUAGUUCCUCUGUCCCUCUUUUUUAGUUUUAUUCUUCUUUUAUAGCCACUUGUUAUUUAUUUUUUCUUAACAUUUCACCUAUUAUUAUUUAAAAUUCGCGUUUUAUAUAUUCUUAUUUGAAUUAGUGUGAAUCUUUGAAUAACUUUUGUAAAAUUUAAUUGUUCCUUUUUCCCCUUUAGAUUUUGAACUUAGUCUAAUCACGGGACCUCGGCAUUUAAUUUACAUCAUCAAAAGUUUUAAACUUUGGUAGGUUAAAAGAUACUUUUAGAAUUAAUGGCCGAGUUUGUUAGAAUCUUUUAAUACUUCUUUAAUAUGAAAUGGUAGUCUAUCUUUGGAAUCGAAUUAGUUUUCACCAAUGAGUAAUUUCAGACUAGUAAAAAUAAAUUUUGUGAUAGAUGGGCGUAUUAUCGCUAAACUCGAAAAAUCGACUUUACUAAUUUUGGAUACGGUAAAUCAAAUUUUAAUUUUUAUUAAUUUCAAAUAAAAGAUAGCACUGUGCAAGUCCCUUUGAAGGAUUUUAAUGAGAAGAAAUAUUUUAUUUAUUCGUAUCGUAAUGAAUAAUAAUUCGCAAGACAUUAUAUAUUUUAUCUAUUCACUUAGCGUAGGAUAAUUAGCUUAUUUUUAUGAAAUUUGAUCUAAAAAUACAAAAGAGUCAUUUUUUAGAAUUAAAAAAUGAGUUCGUAAUAUAAUUAACCUUUUAAUUGAAAGCUUUUUUUUUUGUUUUAAGAAAAAUGACUUUAAAUAACUUUCUUUUUUGACAAAAUAAGGUUACAUCAUUUUAGGAGGUCUUAUAAAAUAUUAUCUUAGGUAAUUUAAAAAAAAUAGGCUUUAUGACGAGGUUUAAUCUUAUUCUUACAAAGAAUUAGCAUAUAUUAUCUUAUAUAAGACAAAUAUCUUUUUAUGCCUUGCCUAUAUCUUAAUUUAAUAUUUGAUUUUCUUAUCUAAUCUAAGUUUGGUCGGUCAACCAUAGUUAGCAGAUCCUUUAGGGUGCCUUAUCCCUUCCCCUUAAGAUAAUUAGAAUCCUUACCUAGAGCUUUAAGUUGAGUAGACCUUAAAAUGAAGUCUUUAAUUGCUUUAAUCUCAUAGUUUAUAAUAGGUGUCCUAAUUCACCGUAGAACUAAUUAGGUGACACUUCCUUAAAUUUAAUUAGCAGUUUUUCAAUAUGUUGUAUGCUAUUUUGACCUCGUGUUAAAAUGGGGUAUAACAAAAACAAUUUCAAUUUUUUGAUGGUAUGAUUUUUAAUUCCUUUUUGAUAGAAAAUACUUUCCUAGCAGAAAAUAAUAGACUUGAUAUAUUUGAGAAUAUUAUUAAUCUCCAUUGCAUCAAACACUUCCAAGUGACUUUAUUAGUUUGUCUUACCAAGCCAUUAGAGACUUCAACAAGGCACAGACAACAACAACACAUCACCUAGCAGCUGAGCAAUUCAAUAGUAGACGACACGAUGGACACCACUAACUCUGCCACCCACAAGGGCACCAAACGUGACAGCCGGAUUAAUAUGACUGUGAUACAUAUUGUGUGGAAUUAAUCAAGGUGUGCGAUGCCAUAGCUAUCCAAAAAAAUGUAUGAAACUUCUUAAAAUUUGCAUUGUAUUCUUUGUUUUUCAUAAUUUGUCCCUUUAUGUAUGCAUCAACAUUUGUUUACAUUCCAUCCUUUGUUGUUUUCAUAAUUUUCUCCUAAGAUGUACAUUGUUAUUCUAUUAUUAGUAUUGAAUACUUUAAAGAUAUGUUUCAUCUUUAUAUUCACUUUCUACAA